UACGGAGGGUGCGAGCGUUGUCCGGAGUCACUGGGCGUAAAGGGCGCGUAGGCGGCCCGGUAAGCGUGUGGUGAAAGCCCGGGGCUCAACCCCGGGUCGGCCGUGCGAACUGCUGGGCUGGAGCACUGUAGGGGCGGGUGGAAUUCCGGGUGUAGCGGUGGAAUGCGUAGAUAUCUGGAAGAACACCGGUGGCGCAAGCGGCUUGCUGGGCUGUAACUGACACUGAGGAACGAAAGCUAGGGGAGCAAAUGGG
This 253-nucleotide ribosomal RNA is filed under the name uncultured bacterium. Its description in RNAcentral is "partial 16S ribosomal RNA". It matches the Rfam family "Bacterial small subunit ribosomal RNA", at positions 524 to 776 of the family's 1533-position model. The record is from RNAcentral.